This 450-nucleotide ribosomal RNA is filed under the name uncultured bacterium. Its description in RNAcentral is "partial 16S ribosomal RNA". It matches the Rfam family "Bacterial small subunit ribosomal RNA", at positions 354 to 796 of the family's 1533-position model. The record is from RNAcentral.
GUGGGGAAUAUUGGACAAUGGGCGCAAGCCUGAUCCAGCAAUGCCGCGUGCAGGAAGAAGGCCUUCGGGUUGUAAACUGCUUUUGUACGGAACGAAACGGUCCUGGCUAAUAUCCGGGGCUAAUGACGGUACCGUAAGAAUAAGCACCGGCUAACUACGUGCCAGCAGCCGCGGUAAUACGUAGGGUGCGAGCGUUAAUCGGAAUUACUGGGCGUAAAGCGUGCGCAGGCGGUGCUGUAAGACAGGCGUGAAAUCCCCGGGCUCAACCUGGGAAUUGCGCUUGUGACUGCAGUGCUGGAGUGCGGCAGAGGGGGAUGGAAUUCCGCGUGUAGCAGUGAAAUGCGUAGAUAUGCGGAGGAACACCGAUGGCGAAGGCAAUCCCCUGGGCCUGCACUGACGCUCAUGCACGAAAGCGUGGGGAGCAAACAGGAUUAGAUACACCGGUAGUCC